Molecule: ribosomal RNA, 253 nt
Filed under: uncultured bacterium
Lineage: Bacteria
Description: partial 16S ribosomal RNA
Rfam family: Bacterial small subunit ribosomal RNA
Source: RNAcentral
UACGGGGGGGGCAAGCGUUGUUCGGAAUUACUGGGCGUAAAGGGCUCGUAGGCGGCCAACUAAGUCGGACGUGAAAUCCCCAGGCUCAACCUGGGAACUGCGUCUGAUACUGGAUGGCUUGAAUCCGGGAGAGGGAUGCAGAAUUCCAGGUGUAGCGGUGAAAUGCGUAGAUAUCUGGAGGAGUACCGGUGGCGAAGGCGGCAUCCUGGACCGGCAUUGACGCUGAGGAGCGAAAGCCAGGGGAGCAAACGGG